Molecule: non-coding RNA, 71 nt
Organism: Candidatus Kaiserbacteria bacterium
Lineage: Bacteria; Candidatus Kaiseribacteriota
Source: Rfam
GCGGAUAUAGUUUAAUGGUAGAACUCCGGCUUGCCAAGUCGGUGAUCCGGGUCCGAUUCCCGGUAUCCGCA